AUUGAACGCUGGCGGCAUGCCUUACACAUGCAAGUCGAACGGCAGCGGGGGAGAAGCUUGCUUUUCCUGCCGGCGAGUGGCGAACGGGUGAGUAAUGCCUAGGAAUCUGCCUGUUAGUGGGGGAUAACGCGGGGAAACUCGCGCUAAUACCGCAUACGUCCUACGGGAGAAAGCGGGGGCUCUUCGGACCUCGCGCUAACAGAUGAGCCUAGGUCGGAUUAGCUAGUUGGUGGGGUAAUGGCCCACCGAGGCGACGAUCCGUAACUGGUCUGAGAGGAUGAUAAGUCACACUGGAACUGAGACACGGUCCAGACUCCUACGGGAGGCAGCAGUGGGGAAUAUUGGACAAUGGGCGAAAGCCUGAUCCAGCCAUGCCGCGUGUGUGAAGAAGGCCUUCGGGUUGUAAAGCACUUAGUUGGGGAAGAAAAGUAAUAAGUAAAUAAUUUAUUGCUCUGACGGUACCCAAAGAAUAAGCACCGGCUAACUCUGUGCCAGCCGCCGCCGCAG
This 507-nucleotide ribosomal RNA is filed under the name uncultured bacterium. RNAcentral describes it as "partial 16S ribosomal RNA". It matches the Rfam family "Bacterial small subunit ribosomal RNA", at positions 30 to 523 of the family's 1533-position model. The record is from RNAcentral.